RNAcentral lists this ribosomal RNA (253 nucleotides) under uncultured bacterium. Its description in RNAcentral is "partial 16S ribosomal RNA". It matches the Rfam family "Bacterial small subunit ribosomal RNA", at positions 524 to 776 of the family's 1533-position model. The record is from RNAcentral.
UACGUACGGUGCAAGCGUUGUCCGGAAUUAUUGGGCGUAAAGAGCUCGUAGGCGGUCUGUUGCGUCGGCUGUGAAAACCCGGGGCUCAACCCCGGGCCUGCAGCCGAUACGGGCAGACUAGAGUUCGGCAGGGGAGACUGGAAUUCCUGGUGUAGCGGUGAAAUGCGCAGAUAUCAGGAGGAACACCGGUGGCGAAGGCGGGUCUCUGGGCCGAUACUGACGCUGAGGAGCGAAAGCGUGGGGAGCGAACAGG